This 72-nucleotide transfer RNA is filed under the name Dioszegia hungarica. It matches the Rfam family "tRNA". From Rfam's summary of the family: Transfer RNA (tRNA) molecules are approximately 80 nucleotides in length. Their secondary structure includes four short double-helical elements and three loops (D, anti-codon, and T loops). RNAcentral also lists the same sequence under 2 other names. The record is from Rfam by way of RNAcentral. Lineage: Eukaryota; Fungi; Basidiomycota; Tremellomycetes; Tremellales; Bulleribasidiaceae.
UCGCCCUUAGUAUAAUGGCUAGUACUUCCGACUUCGAAUCGGCGAAAAUUGGUUCGAAUCCAAUAGGGCGUU